GUGCUCUCGAACGCCCACAUCCACAGAGACACACAGAAAAGGACUGGCGAAGACGCUUCCGUUGGCAGCGGACUUUCUCUCCCUCCCUCUCACGCCAUAUCCUCCUCCCUGUCUCACGUGUGCUUUUGCGCAGCAGAACGCGACGCAGGAAACGGAAGGUGAGAGUGGGUACUGGCCGGCCAUCUGCAGCCAGAGUGAUUUGUUCCCCACCCAACCACUCGCUCACAGUUGGCACCGCUCCAGCGUACCUUCGGUCUUCGCUAUCCCCUCCUCCUCGUCCUCCUUCAUACGCACGCACGUCUAACGCUACUGGCUCCCUCGAUCCCCCGUUUUCCUGUCUCGUCGUUUUGCAUUUCUCGGUGCUCCGUGCGGUGGUGUUGGACCCGCCGCGGUACUCCGUCGUCGUCGUCACGGCCGAGCGAGCAACAGCGAGACGAGAAGAUCGACGCGCUACCUUUGUUUUGCGGAGCAAGUGAGGAGACGCGGCAGCAGUGGCUUGAUACGCAACGGCGAUAUCGCUCGCGCGUGGACCUGCCGUGCGGUAUGUCGGCCUUGCUCUCGUUCCCAUCUCGGUCCUCUGCAGCACCUUUAGCCAUGCACCGCUGUCGGCGCACAUUCACCGCGGCUGCAGCCGCUGCUACCUCGCUUUCCGCGUCCUCGAGCACAUCGGCGGACGGGCGACCCUUAGUCGCCGAUGCUGAAGCGAUGGAAAGGUCUGGGGCAGCAGCGAUGCACAGUUUGUACAGGCGUCUCCUCAAGGCCGGCGAGGAGGGCAGAAUGAUGCAGCACUGUCUUACGGUGAACUCUCUGAGCGACAGCUUGACAUACGGACUGCGGUUACUGCGCCUGCAUCGUGAGCUGACUACGGUGGAUGCUACAGCCCAGCAAACUCCGUGGUGGCGCGUGGCGAAGCGAGCGCGCCAGGGAUUAGCACGCCGCUACUACGCGUGGAGCCUGCUGUCGCUGCGUCUGCAGCUGCGCAGCCGCAACGCGAUCGCUGACGUCCUUGUGUACUUGCUCUUCGUCACCAUGUGCUUCCUUCUCUACGAAAUCUACCGCGCAUGCCGCAUUGGAGUGAACCGGGCUGAGGAGCGCUACCGCACGCUCUCCAUUCCCAUUAUUCAGACCUUGGACGCACUCGAGGCGGCGCAGGCGCGGAAGCGUGAGCUGCGCAAGGAAAUGGAGAAGGACAUUGUGCAAGGGCGAUGAGGACAUAGUGGGUGAGGUACACGUCACAGGACAGGCACGCGCGCCCGUGCUCGCUGACGCGUUCCUUCUCCGCCUCCCCUUCGUGUGGCUUCCUCUUCCCGUGCCGUUCCCCGAUGCCUCCGGUACGCCUCAGCAGUGCUCGGGCUCACAAACCCAUCCACGCACACCGGCCCGCACACGAAAGGAUUAUGCCCCCCCCCUCCUCCUCUCUCUUCCGCCUCUUCUCCCAUCCCUCAGACACGAACACGUGUGCACAAUGUCUGUGUGUGUGUGCCCAUCUCGUAGCACACGCCGUUCACAACUCAACAUACUCGUAAGUGCAGACUAAAAAGAAGAAGCUGCAGCAACGGCGGCAAGCGGCAACGGUGACUCCGCGACGCAUCUGUGAAACGGUGGAGCAGGAGGGAAAGACCGAAAAAGACACAAGGCGAGCACUGCGUGUGCGUGCGUGGAAGGGGAACGGGGAGGGGCGCGAUGUGCACAAAUGCGUCGCCGCAUUUUUUUUCCAAACACCUCCACACCCACACCCAC
RNAcentral lists this unclassified non-coding RNA (1740 nucleotides) under Leishmania donovani. RNAcentral describes it as "gene:LdHU3.09.0180(CDS-product:hypothetical_prote in_conserved)". The record is from RNAcentral. Lineage: Eukaryota; Euglenozoa; Kinetoplastea; Trypanosomatida; Trypanosomatidae.